UGUAAGCGUAUACCAAAGUUGUUGCAGUUAAAACGCUCGUAGUCGGAAUUUGGCAGUUCCGGAUGUGUGCACGUCGUGUGCGCACUUCGCGGGGAGUGCUUUUGUGGUCUUGCGUAGGAUGAGGCACUUUUAUUAGUGAACGUCCUCACGCAACCACUUUUUACUGUGAGAAAAUCAGAGUGCUCAAAGCAGGCAUUUGCCGUGAAUGUAUUAGCAUGGAAUAAUAGAAUAGGACUUGGUUCUAUUUUGUUGGUUUGUUGGGACUGAGUAAUGAUUAAGAGGGACAGUUGGGGGCAUUUGUAUUUCGGUGCUAGAGGUGAAAUUCUUAGAUUACCGAAAGACAAACUGCUGCGAAAGCGUCUGCCAAGGAUGUUUUCAUUGA
This 382-nucleotide ribosomal RNA is filed under the name uncultured eukaryote. RNAcentral's name for it is "partial 18S ribosomal RNA". It matches the Rfam family "Eukaryotic small subunit ribosomal RNA", at positions 592 to 976 of the family's 1831-position model. The record is from RNAcentral.